RNAcentral lists this ribosomal RNA (2925 nucleotides) under Escherichia coli. RNAcentral's name for it is "23S ribosomal RNA". It matches the Rfam family "Bacterial large subunit ribosomal RNA". The record is from RNAcentral. Lineage: Bacteria; Pseudomonadati; Pseudomonadota; Gammaproteobacteria; Enterobacterales; Enterobacteriaceae.
GGGUUGUGAGGUUAAGCGACUAAGCGUACACGGUGGAUGCCCUGGCAGUCAGAGGCGAUGAAGGACGUGCUAAUCUGCGAUAAGCGUCGGUAAGGUGAUAUGAACCGUUAUAACCGGCGAUUUCCGAAUGGGGAAACCCAGUGUGUUUCGACACACUAUCAUUAACUGAAUCCAUAGGUUAAUGAGGCGAACCGGGGGAACUGAAACAUCUAAGUACCCCGAGGAAAAGAAAUCAACCGAGAUUCCCCCAGUAGCGGCGAGCGAACGGGGAGCAGCCCAGAGCCUGAAUCAGUGUGUGUGUUAGUGGAAGCGUCUGGAAAGGCGCGCGAUACAGGGUGACAGCCCCGUACACAAAAAUGCACAUGCUGUGAGCUCGAUGAGUAGGGCGGGACACGUGGUAUCCUGUCUGAAUAUGGGGGGACCAUCCUCCAAGGCUAAAUACUCCUGACUGACCGAUAGUGAACCAGUACCGUGAGGGAAAGGCGAAAAGAACCCCGGCGAGGGGAGUGAAAAAGAACCUGAAACCGUGUACGUACAAGCAGUGGGAGCACGCUUAGGCGUGUGACUGCGUACCUUUUGUAUAAUGGGUCAGCGACUUAUAUUCUGUAGCAAGGUUAACCGAAUAGGGGAGCCGAAGGGAAACCGAGUCUUAACUGGGCGUUAAGUUGCAGGGUAUAGACCCGAAACCCGGUGAUCUAGCCAUGGGCAGGUUGAAGGUUGGGUAACACUAACUGGAGGACCGAACCGACUAAUGUUGAAAAAUUAGCGGAUGACUUGUGGCUGGGGGUGAAAGGCCAAUCAAACCGGGAGAUAGCUGGUUCUCCCCGAAAGCUAUUUAGGUAGCGCCUCGUGAACUCAUCUCCGGGGGUAGAGCACUGUUUCGGCAAGGGGGUCAUCCCGACUUACCAACCCGAUGCAAACUGCGAAUACCGGAGAAUGUUAUCACGGGAGACACACGGCGGGUGCUAACGUCCGUCGUGAAGAGGGAAACAACCCAGACCGCCAGCUAAGGUCCCAAAGUCAUGGUUAAGUGGGAAACGAUGUGGGAAGGCCCAGACAGCCAGGAUGUUGGCUUAGAAGCAGCCAUCAUUUAAAGAAAGCGUAAUAGCUCACUGGUCGAGUCGGCCUGCGCGGAAGAUGUAACGGGGCUAAACCAUGCACCGAAGCUGCGGCAGCGACGCUUAUGCGUUGUUGGGUAGGGGAGCGUUCUGUAAGCCUGUGAAGGUGUGCUGUGAGGCAUGCUGGAGGUAUCAGAAGUGCGAAUGCUGACAUAAGUAACGAUAAAGCGGGUGAAAAGCCCGCUCGCCGGAAGACCAAGGGUUCCUGUCCAACGUUAAUCGGGGCAGGGUGAGUCGACCCCUAAGGCGAGGCCGAAAGGCGUAGUCGAUGGGAAACAGGUUAAUAUUCCUGUACUUGGUGUUACUGCGAAGGGGGGACGGAGAAGGCUAUGUUGGCCGGGCGACGGUUGUCCCGGUUUAAGCGUGUAGGCUGGUUUUCCAGGCAAAUCCGGAAAAUCAAGGCUGAGGCGUGAUGACGAGGCACUACGGUGCUGAAGCAACAAAUGCCCUGCUUCCAGGAAAAGCCUCUAAGCAUCAGGUAACAUCAAAUCGUACCCCAAACCGACACAGGUGGUCAGGUAGAGAAUACCAAGGCGCUUGAGAGAACUCGGGUGAAGGAACUAGGCAAAAUGGUGCCGUAACUUCGGGAGAAGGCACGCUGAUAUGUAGGUGAAGCGACUUGCUCGUGGAGCUGAAAUCAGUCGAAGAUACCAGCUGGCUGCAACUGUUUAUUAAAAACACAGCACUGUGCAAACACGAAAGUGGACGUAUACGGUGUGACGCCUGCCCGGUGCCGGAAGGUUAAUUGAUGGGGUUAGCGCAAGCGAAGCUCUUGAUCGAAGCCCCGGUAAACGGCGGCCGUAACUAUAACGGUCCUAAGGUAGCGAAAUUCCUUGUCGGGUAAGUUCCGACCUGCACGAAUGGCGUAAUGAUGGCCAGGCUGUCUCCACCCGAGACUCAGUGAAAUUGAACUCGCUGUGAAGAUGCAGUGUACCCGCGGCAAGACGGAAAGACCCCGUGAACCUUUACUAUAGCUUGACACUGAACAUUGAGCCUUGAUGUGUAGGAUAGGUGGGAGGCUUUGAAGUGUGGACGCCAGUCUGCAUGGAGCCGACCUUGAAAUACCACCCUUUAAUGUUUGAUGUUCUAACGUUGACCCGUAAUCCGGGUUGCGGACAGUGUCUGGUGGGUAGUUUGACUGGGGCGGUCUCCUCCUAAAGAGUAACGGAGGAGCACGAAGGUUGGCUAAUCCUGGUCGGACAUCAGGAGGUUAGUGCAAUGGCAUAAGCCAGCUUGACUGCGAGCGUGACGGCGCGAGCAGGUGCGAAAGCAGGUCAUAGUGAUCCGGUGGUUCUGAAUGGAAGGGCCAUCGCUCAACGGAUAAAAGGUACUCCGGGGAUAACAGGCUGAUACCGCCCAAGAGUUCAUAUCGACGGCGGUGUUUGGCACCUCGAUGUCGGCUCAUCACAUCCUGGGGCUGAAGUAGGUCCCAAGGGUAUGGCUGUUCGCCAUUUAAAGUGGUACGCGAGCUGGGUUUAGAACGUCGUGAGACAGUUCGGUCCCUAUCUGCCGUGGGCGCUGGAGAACUGAGGGGGGCUGCUCCUAGUACGAGAGGACCGGAGUGGACGCAUCACUGGUGUUCGGGUUGUCAUGCCAAUGGCACUGCCCGGUAGCUAAAUGCGGAAGAGAUAAGUGCUGAAAGCAUCUAAGCACGAAACUUGCCCCGAGAUGAGUUCUCCCUGACCCUUUAAGGGUCCUGAAGGAACGUUGAAGACGACGACGUUGAUAGGCCGGGUGUGUAAGCGCAGCGAUGCGUUGAGCUAACCGGUACUAAUGAACCGUGAGGCUUAACCUUACAACGCCGAAG